Long non-coding RNA from Alosa sapidissima (American shad), 141 nucleotides. RefSeq lists it as uncharacterized. The record is from RefSeq and is a predicted model, not a curated record. Lineage: Eukaryota; Metazoa; Chordata; Actinopteri; Clupeiformes; Clupeidae. The transcript is spliced from 2 exons.
GGAACUGCACCCUGUCUGUGUGUGUGUGUGUGUGUGUGUGUUAAAAAGCGAUGUCACAAUGAAGUCGCUAUGUCUUGCUUCCUAUUUUCUGUGUGCAUCUGUACAAUAAAAGACACAGCUUUUGGGCUGCAGAGUCAGAGA